AAAAAGGUGGCUGAGCAGCAAAGCGGUGGAUUGUAAAUCCACUUAUAAAGGUUAAACUCCUUUCCUUUUUA
Molecule: transfer RNA, 71 nt
Filed under: Temnopleurus reevesii
Lineage: Eukaryota; Metazoa; Echinodermata; Echinoidea; Temnopleuroida; Temnopleuridae
Description: tRNA-Tyr
Rfam family: tRNA
About the family: Transfer RNA (tRNA) molecules are approximately 80 nucleotides in length. Their secondary structure includes four short double-helical elements and three loops (D, anti-codon, and T loops).
Source: RNAcentral